Molecule: ribosomal RNA, 429 nt
Filed under: Bacteroidota bacterium
Lineage: Bacteria; Pseudomonadati; Bacteroidota
Description: Bacteroidetes bacterium partial 16S ribosomal RNA
Rfam family: Bacterial small subunit ribosomal RNA
Source: RNAcentral
UAGGGAAUCUUCCGCAAUGGACGCAAGUCUGACGGAGCAACGCCGCGUGAGUGAAGAAGGAUUUCGGUUCGUAAAACUCUGUUGUUAGAGAAGAACAGCGCAUAGAGUAACUGUUAUGCGUGUGACGGUAUCUAACCAGAAAGCCACGGCUAACUACGUGCCAGCAGCCGCGGUAAUACGUAGGUGGCAAGCGUUGUCCGGAUUUAUUGGGCGUAAAGCGAGCGCAGGCGGUAAAUUAAGUCUGAUGUGAAAGCCCCCGGCUCAACCGGGGAGGGUCAUUUGAAACUGGUUGACUUGAGUGCAGAAGGGGAGAGUGGAAUUCCAUGUGUGACAGUGAAAUACGUAGAUAUAUGGAGGAACACCAGUGGCGAAGGCGACUCUCUGGUCUGUAACUGACGCUGAGGCUCGAAAGCGUGGGUAGCAAACAGG